RNAcentral lists this transfer RNA (75 nucleotides) under Penicillium expansum. RNAcentral describes it as "tRNA-His". It matches the Rfam family "tRNA". Rfam says of the family: Transfer RNA (tRNA) molecules are approximately 80 nucleotides in length. Lineage: Eukaryota; Fungi; Ascomycota; Eurotiomycetes; Eurotiales; Aspergillaceae. The record is from RNAcentral.
GGUAGAUAUAGUUCAAAGGUAGAACGGUUAUCUGUGGCAUAAUAUAUCUUAGUUCGAUUCUAGGUAUCUACCCUA